GAUUCCAAUUAUUAUUUGUGUUUCAGCAACAAUCUGCUCUCUGGAAAUUGCUGCAAUGCUUGUCAAAAGUCACUGUUUUAUCCUAUAAUUUUCUACAAGGAGGGUUGAAUAUAGUUAAGUGACCUCUACAAAAACUUCCUCUUUGAAGUGUUCUCUGAAGAGAUCUUCAAGGCAUCUGAGUGCCUCAGAUUGUGAUUUUGUAAGGUUUUGAUGCUAGAAAAUUGUUUAACAAACAGCUCCAAAAUAUUGAGAUUUUGAUUAAUAACAUACAGUGUCAUGGUAUUUAAAUAAUAAAAAGUUUGAAAUCUAACA
This 312-nucleotide long non-coding RNA is filed under the name Cyanistes caeruleus (blue tit). RNAcentral describes it as "lncRNA (ENSCCEG00000007581.1)". Lineage: Eukaryota; Metazoa; Chordata; Aves; Passeriformes; Paridae. The record is from RNAcentral.